AAAGAAGCAAUAGCGAAAUCGUGGCCCUAUGAACAAGAACUUAAUAUUAAGGCCCAUUAGGUGGAUGAGUUAACUAAACAUAAUAAAGUCCCAAUGACAAACGUAAACCUAAUCGGUAAAUUAAGUGGGUAAACGAGGAAAGAUAU
Molecule: non-coding RNA, 146 nt
Filed under: pig gut metagenome
Source: RNAcentral